This is a long non-coding RNA of Melanotaenia boesemani (Boeseman's rainbowfish), 2060 nucleotides long. RefSeq lists it as uncharacterized. The record is from RefSeq and is a predicted model, not a curated record. The transcript has 3 exons. NCBI's taxonomy places the organism in Eukaryota, Metazoa, Chordata, Actinopteri, Atheriniformes, Melanotaeniidae.
GUGGGCAGUCAAAGGAACCAUCACUGAUUUAUUCAGCUAUUCACAGUUUCACUGCACUAUCUGUGUGUACUUAGAGCUGAAUUGCCAAAUCUUUGACACGAGGAUGUUUUUACCGGCAGAAAAGAUGUUUUUGUUUAGAAGUUUCUUUUUUAGACGUGUGUACUCCAGACAGGAGACAUGUUCUCCUGUGUCCUCUGUGACAACUUCAUCCAGCACAACCAUCUGCAGAAGAUCUACACCAUCACACUUCUACAUCAUCUUCAUGAACUAUUGGUGCAAACAAGAGACACCACUGCUGGACCACACAGAGAAGACUUCUACAUGCUGCCAUCCCAGUAUUUCUUCAAAGUAGGUGAUGAAAUGUCACCUGUGAAGCUUCACCUGACCACCUGGCUGGGCCUGAGAAAGAUCACUGACAUCAUGCUGCCAUGCUGCACACCAACAACAGAGGAAGCAAGACUUCAAGGGACUAAGAGACUCCUCCUCCUCCUGCCAGUGACCUGGGUUCCUCACAGUAGAAGAAAAGCUCUUCCUCUGCUGUGAGUCUUUCUCUUCACCGAAACCAUUGAUCCUCAUCAGAAUACUGUCAUCGAAACUCCCAAAGCAUCUGGGUGUGAAACUGCAUUGGCCAGGAGAAGACUGGACCUGCAGCACAUUUAAGGACCAGUUCCAUGUUCAUGCCUGCACGACACCAUCUGAGCUCUUAAAAAGAGUAACCUGUGCUCACUCUUGAGUCAGAGACCAGGCAUGUUGCUGCAGGGAAACACUGUGGAGGACCACUCAUCGUUUCUGGAGUAAUUUCCUCUCAUCUGUGCAACAAAAGGCCUUCUCAAUAAGACUCAUCCUUCCUGUGUGCAGCAGACACUGAACUGGUCCAUGGAGGCAGCAGAUGAUCAGCCUCUGGAAAAGGAAACCAUCACAUGGUGAUCACACCGUACAUCUUCACCGUGACGCAUGUUCUCAGACUCUCUGGUCUGCACCAACACACUGGACCACCACCCAUGUAAAAACAGAACUGAACUUAGCUUACACCAUCCAUCUUUUUAAAGAUGAUAUUUUAUAGUAUAGUUUCAUAUUAUUUAUAGUUAAAGAAUUAGUUUUGCUGUAAUAAUAGUAAUGAAAGAAUCACAAUAACUGCCACUUAAAAUAAAUAAUUCUUUAAAAAUACAUAAUUAUAAAAUAAAUUAAUAGUUAAUAAUUGCUAAGUGAAUUCAAUUUAAUUAAAAACUGAUUAUUCCCCUGAUACUAAAUUAUAAUGUUGUAAAGGUUUUAGUUUUCUUUUUUCUGUUAGCCUUCUCUUUGGUUCCUUUGACUGCCCACCCACCUGAAGACAAUCUGUUUCUCUUCAGAGUGUGUUGGGGUGUGAACGAUUGUCCAUAUUCUGUAUAAUCAUAUGGAAUAUAUAAGAUGUAUAUAUAUUUACUUAUAUAUGUGUGUGUCUCUACACUUAUUUACAGUAUUGUGUGUCAGUUGCUGUUAUUGUAUACUAUAAGAAUAAUAGAUGAUAUGUUUAUAAUUAUCAUUACAAACGAUCAUUACAGUAUAGUAAUUAUGAUUAUUUAUAGAAAGCAUCCAGCAGGACUCACACAUACAUAUGUUAACUUUAGAUGCUUAAUAUUUAGCCCUUAACAAUAAUAAAUUGCCUAAAUGAAAUAGGACAUUGCAAUACUAUUUCAAAACUUGACAUUUUCCCCCAUAAAGACUGCAAAUGCAGCUAGCAGCAGGUCCACAAUUCAGUAAACAACACAGCAUCACAGUGUUGAAGCUGAAGAGACGGCCAAGCUAGCAAAGCCUGGAACAUGUUUGUGUGAGUCCUGCUCAAGUGUGGGGUAUCUGCUGGUAUGUAGGUAGAAAACACACAUGUCUGCACUUAUCCUGGGCUAAUACAGACCCCAGUUAGAAGACAGACAUCGUAUAGAGCAGAGGUCCCUAACCCUGGUUCUCAAGGCCCACUAUCAUGCAGGUCUAAGAUGUGGCCCUGCUGCAACACACCUGAUUCAAGUUUAACAGCUCUAUGACAAGCUCUGCACAAGCCUACUAAUGAUCCAUUCAUUUGAAUC